RNAcentral lists this ribosomal RNA (352 nucleotides) under uncultured bacterium. RNAcentral's name for it is "partial 16S ribosomal RNA". It matches the Rfam family "Bacterial small subunit ribosomal RNA", at positions 338 to 682 of the family's 1533-position model. The record is from RNAcentral.
CCUACGGGCGACAGCAGUGGGGAAUAUUGCGCAAUGGGCGAAAGCCUGACGCAGCGACGCCGCGUGAGGGAUGAAGGUCUGCGGAUCGUAAACCUCUGUCAGCAGGGAAGAACGGUCACUGUGCUAAUCAGCAGUGAAUUGACGGUACCUGCAAAGGAAGCACCGGCUAACUCCGUGCCAGCAGCCGCGGUAAGACGGAGGGUGCGAGCGUUAAUCGGAAUUACUGGGCGGAAAGCGCUCGUAGGCGGUAUGUCAAGUCAAGGGUGAAAUCCCCGCGCUCAACGUGGGAACUGCCUUUGCAACUGGCAACCUGGAGUGUUUGCGAGGAUAGUGGACUUCCAGGUGUAGGCGU